Physella acuta is the source of this 347-nucleotide long non-coding RNA. RefSeq lists it as uncharacterized. The record is from RefSeq and is a predicted model, not a curated record. Lineage: Eukaryota; Metazoa; Mollusca; Gastropoda; Physidae.
AGCAACUGCUAACACAUCAUCAUGAUGGCAGGAUCCAAGUCAAAAAACUUAAAAAAGGCUGCUAGAAAGCGCCUAGUGGAAUACUUUUGUAAAAACUGUAAACCAACGAACAGGUUCUUUCUCAGCAACACAUUUUUACUUUUUUAACCUCAGGACUAAUAUCAUUGGACAAAGUUCUACCGCCUCGUUACGCCGUUGCGAAAACAUGGGUGGAUUUUCUGGCCAGGAAGCUGGGACUUGACUAUCCGGAAAGCGAGGAUUAUGUCAUUCAUGUUUGAUAGAUCAAUCCUGAGUUAGAUCAUCUCUAAAACCAGCAGCAUCUCUUCAUAAGGUUCUUAUGUCACUAU